AUACUGGCUGGGCAGGGCGCACAUCGCUGGUUCGCGUGUGGGCAUGUCGGCAUGGUUGGCGGGUCCGCAUCUUGGAAUGAGUCGGCCUACCCCCACUUCAAGGUAUCUUGUUUGCGGUCUUUUACAUGGACGUAUAUGCUGAUAGGGAUAUGGAGGAACCGACGCCAGGAAAGUGGCGACUUUUAGCCUGACCUUGCGUGGCUCGCGCGAGGGUCGGUCGCGCUGGAAAGGCGAAAACAAUUCAUUGCACCAGCCCCGAGGCCACUUGCCCCACACACAACAUAGAUACAUAUUAUAUAUGUAAUAUGAAAUACUCGCACAGGCAAGCAGCCGCAUGGCGCAGGUGUGCCACGCCGUGCCGUCGCCGGCGACCCUCGCCGCGCCACCUCGGGGCCACCGGGGCCCGCCCGGCCCCUCCGCCGCGUGCACAGUCGGCCCUUGGGCUCCCAGCUAGCUUGCACUAUGAGACCAGCAGCCGCCACUGCAGUCGCGCUCGGCAGGGCAUAGCACGCAGGAGCCCAGGCCGCGGCGCCAUGGCGGGGCCCUGAGCGCCGCCCAGCCAGGCGAGCAGACGCUCUUGUGCCAUAGACCGGCGCCCACAGGGGCCAUAAGGCUGUGUGACAAGGCUGUGAUAUACAGCAGAGACAGAGGACAGCAAAAGACGCGACAUAAAGCCCGUACGACGUACACACGUCCCUCUGUGCACCUUCCUCUCACGCACCCGCCUGCAUCACCUACCGCCGCCGCCGCCGCUCGGUAAACCAGUCACGGCCCCGGCGUGCGACCGGGCGCAGGCCGGCUGCCAGCGUCAUAAUACGGGAAGCAUAUGUGACAUGUCAGCUGCUAUGCACCAGAGGGUCCAGGGCAUGUGGUUGUGGGCACGCAGGAGUGCAUGCGCUUGUGGGUGUUUGGGCGUGCAUGCCCGCUUGAUCGCAUGUGUAGCACAAGUGCCCCGGAGGCUGUGCAGCGCGCCUGCCCCGCCCCCGCUAUGUCAAGCUACACUAGGUGGCAUGCAAACACGGCACUCAGCCCGACAUAACUAGCGGUGCCCUGACCACACGGUGGCCGGGCGCCCGGCAGCCCCUCCCUGCGCAGGGCCCAUCGACGGGCCCAGCGCCUGCGUGACGGCCCCACAAAUGCCCCAGCCUGCUUGGACUCGGCUUGUGACCAUAGACGCAUGACUACAGCAUACUGGCUGGGCAGGGCGCACAUCGCUGGUUCGCGUGUGGGCAUGUCGGCAUGGUUGGCGGGUCCGCAUCUUGGAAUGAGUCGGCCUACCCCCACUUCAAGGUAUCUUGUUUGCGGUCUUUUACAUGGACGUAUAUGCUGAUAGGGAUAUGGAGGAACCGACGCCAGGAAAGUGGCGACUUUUAGCCUGACCUUGCGUGGCUCGCGCGAGGGUCGGUCGCGCUGGAAAGGCGAAAACAAUUCAUUGCACCAGCCCCGAGGCCACUUGCCCCACACACAACAUAGA
This 1474-nucleotide long non-coding RNA is filed under the name Chlamydomonas reinhardtii. Its description in RNAcentral is "long non-coding RNA (CREI_LNC000099)". The record is from RNAcentral. Lineage: Eukaryota; Viridiplantae; Chlorophyta; Chlorophyceae; Chlamydomonadales; Chlamydomonadaceae.